UAUCUUUGAACCUUCCUUCUUAUUCAGAGAGUAACCUUCCUUCUUAUUCAGAGAGUAACCUUCCUUCUUAUUCAGAGAGUAACCUUCCUUCUUAUUCAGAGAGUAAAGGAGUAACAUCCAUUCUGAGAUCAACAGGACUUGCUUUUUCAUUCUGUAGUUUUUAAAGAACUAUGAGAUUAGGAAAGAUUCAAACCCUAAUUUUUUAUUAAAUGAUACUUCCACAAUUUUCUGAAAAUUCCUGUUGUGUUUGAUUUUUUUUUUUCUCCUGCUUUUGACAAAGCAAUUGAAAGCCAAUUGGAACUUAACUUAGAAUAGAUUUAGUUGAGUUAAAAUAGAAUGAAAUGCAUGGUUUGGUCUUCAAAUACAAAGCUGUAAUAGAGUAUUCUAUACUGUCAGUGAAGAUGUUUGUCAGGCUGUACUAAAGAACAGCAUAGCAAAUGCUCUGAAAGUAGAGAACAAUUGCCGUUAAUUCGCUAGAAUAUAAUUGGAUUGUACUUUGUGCCGAUUGCAUCCGAUCAGCUAGGAUGUAACAGAAGUUUGGCCACAACCAUAAUGUCAAGCUCAUUAAUUACAUGGUGGACAUAAUCUGAAGGAGGAGCUGGCAGCUUGCUUUGUAAAUUAGAGGUUAAUUGUUCUGGAGGAAACUCAGCAGGACCGACAAGACAUUGCAUUCCUAAAGAUGCUACAGGGCAUCUGUUUGCAGGAGGCCCAGGCUCCCAAAUCCUGCGCAUGUUGGAACGCGGUGAGGACCAGGAUUUGGGAGCUGCUGCCUAAGUUUUUCUUUUCGGUGUGCUGUGAAUCCCAGCUCCGAGCCCUUAGUAAGCCUGCUGCUUGCCAUCUUUGGCCUCUGUGCUGUAAAUUACUACCCCCCAUUUGAAAUAAACUAUUGAGUCAUGCCCCAAAUGCACUUGCAGAGGGCUGUGAAAGAAAGCCUAGCCAUAUACUGAUGUUGUUCCUGCAGUGCAGGUCUUGCCUGCUGAGAUGAAGGCGGUGUAAACCACAAAAGGCUGCGUGGCAGAGUGGGUUAACUUUGCAAUAAUCCUUUCUUCCCCACCUCCAUUCUUUUCCCCCAUGUACCAUUUGUUCCUAUUUGAGUAUUUUAAAAAGCGUUUGCAAUAUGCUUUUGGGACCGUCCGCUUCCCUCUGCGCUGUUGGGGCUCACCAAACAUGCUGACUUGCCUGCAACAUCCACAGUGGUUAACUUCUUGUUUAAAAUAGUGUUUCUUUCUGUGGAGGAGAAGACAACUGGCAUGCUGGGCUGCAAAUUAUUUGAUACAAAGUAUGCCAUAUUGCCACUGGGUGUCUUCAGCAUAAAGCUCUGGGAGGAUGCUCAUUUUUGGUUCAUUUUAAUAAUGAGAAGAAAAUAUGCUCUUUGUGAGGGUAAAAAAAAAUGUUUUUCCAAUAAAUAUAGCUGCCACUUUGGAUGCAAAAAUUUGAGUUUCUUUUUUUUUUUAUCCUGCUGAAGAAGUUGUUAUUAUUUAUGCAUUUUACAACUCUGACUUAUGUUUAGCCUAGUUCUUGGUACAGUAAAAGAGUAAUAUGUAUAUCAUUGUUUCUUAUUCUUUAAAAAACAAAUACUUUCAGCCUGCCUCUCUCAGAGAUAUCUUAAUGCUUUCAAGCUGGUUAGCAAAUACAUUUUCUUUUGUAUUAUUUGGACAGGUGAUGGGUUAAAGAUUUGUGGGUGUAUUCUAGUUCACUAGUUCCUGUAUAAAGUAUAACCAUGAACUGCCCUCAGAAUAAACCAGGGCUUGGCACAGAUUUGUGUUCUAAGCAGGAUUACACAUAAUUGUCAGAUAAGUGGAAAUAUUCAGGAAAGUGGAAACAUUCCAGAGUUCCAGUGCUUACAGCAUCAAAACAGACAUUUGAAAAAGCAUUAUUUCUACAUUUUUUUUAACAAUCGACAAGCAAGUAACUCUUCAGUUUAACAAAAAAAAAAAUUACUUCUAAUUGCCAAGUUUGUUGUUAUGAAAAUGCUUGAGUUUUUUCCACUCUUCCUUGGUGAACUAUUGGAAAAAUCAGAUAAAAUUACAAUAAAGCAAGAUAUAAUGAUUA
Molecule: long non-coding RNA, 2052 nt
Organism: Dromaius novaehollandiae (emu)
Lineage: Eukaryota; Metazoa; Chordata; Aves; Casuariiformes; Dromaiidae
Exons: 2
Source: RefSeq, a predicted model, not a curated record